Molecule: ribosomal RNA, 865 nt
Filed under: Russula vesca
Lineage: Eukaryota; Fungi; Basidiomycota; Agaricomycetes; Russulales; Russulaceae
Also listed under: 1 other name
Description: partial large subunit ribosomal RNA
Rfam family: Eukaryotic large subunit ribosomal RNA
Source: RNAcentral
GGGAUUCCCCUAGUAACUGCGAGUGAAGCGGGAAAAGCUCAAAUUUAAAAUCUGGUGGUCUUUGGCCAUCCGAGUUGUAAUUUAGAGAAGCGUCUUCCGCGCUGGGCCGUGCACAAGUCUCCUGGAAUGGAGCGUCAUAGAGGGUGAGAAUCCCGUCUUUGGCACGGACCCCCAGUGCUUCUGUGAUGCGCUCUCGACGAGUCGAGUUGUUUGGGAAUGCAGCUCAGAAUGGGUGGUGAACUCCAUCUAAAGCUAAAUAUUGGCGAGAGACCGAUAGCGAACAAGUACCGUGAGGGAAAGAUGAAAAGCACUUUGGAAAGAGAGUGAAACAGUACGUGAAAUUGUUGAAAGGGAAACGCUUGAAGUCAGUCGCGUCGACCGAGACUCAGCCUUGCCUCGGCUUGGUGUACUUCUCGGUUUGACGGGUCAGCAUCAAUUUUGACCCUCGGAUAAUGGCAAGGGAAAGGUAGCACCUUUUUAGGUGUGUUAUAGUCCUCUGUCGCAUGCGAGGGUUGAGAUUGAGGAACUCAGCAUGCACCUUCGGGUGUCGGGGCCUUGGCCCACGUUACGUGCUUAGGAUGCUGGCAUAAUGGCUUUAAACGACCCGUCUUGAAACACGGACCAAGGAGUCUAACAUACCCGCGAGUGUUCGGGUGGAAAACCCGUGCGCGUAAUGAAAGUGAAAGUUGGGACCUCUGUCGUGGAGGGCACCGACGCCCGGACCAGACCUUCUGUGACGGCUCUGCGGUAGAGCGUGUAUGUUGGGACCCGAAAGAUGGUGAACUAUGCCUGGAUAGGGUGAAGCCAGAGGAAACUCUGGUGGAGGCUCGUAGCGAUUCUGACGUGCAAUCGAUCGUCAAUUGGG